UCUGUGAACAUGAUAAAAGAAUCGACUAAUUAAAUCAUGUAACAGACACAGAAAUGGUGGUGGAGGAACGAGUCAGGUUGAGAAAAGAACGAAACAUUCUUAUGAAGAAAAUUGUCACAAUUUCAACCUGGUAAACAUAUGCUGGCACUUGAAGCAAUAUUUUUGGCGCGUCACCAAGCGGUUGGUUGAUAGUUUACUAUAACUUUGGACAUUGGGUAACAACGAGGGACGAAAAUAAUCUUCUAACGAGAUUCAUCGAAGAAUAUAGAAACGAAGGAAACUUAAAUAAUAUGAAAUAAACUUAUUAAUAACGGGCAUUUGACUACAUUUUUUUAUAAAAUCUGAAGCUGUCCCUGUUGUUUCGUUUCCGAAUUUGUACACAAAAACUAUUACAGAUUCGUUCUUUUUCUUAAUUUUUUUUGCUUAUUUUUCAUUGUAUUUUCUGUCACGUAUUUUUGUUGGAAUUUUAAAAAAUUGUGUAAGAAAUAGGAAAUCAACAAAAAUGGAAAAAAGAAACAAAUAUCUAUAUAAGGAAACAAAGCGUGAAAAAAAGAGGAAA
Molecule: long non-coding RNA, 559 nt
Organism: Bombus pascuorum
Lineage: Eukaryota; Metazoa; Arthropoda; Insecta; Hymenoptera; Apidae
Exons: 2
Source: RefSeq, a predicted model, not a curated record